CAGCAGCUUGCAUGGAGCUCUGAGUCAUUAUUCAUUCAAAAACAGCAGACAGGGAAUCUAAUCUGCUUAUUUUUAGAUGCACUAAAAUUUCAGAGGCAGCAUGGCAGCAAAUUAGUUCCCAGAUCUCAGACUGAGCAGAAAAGCACACUGAACAAUCUGUAAGCACAAGAAAGAAAGUCAAACACACCUGGGAUAUCAUGAUGCAAGAGCAUAUUCUGAAACUGACUCAAGCCAUGUCUGCUCAACGCCCUGCCUACGGGGCAUUCCUCCAAUUGGCACAGCCGUCAAGUCUGGCACAGGUAUGACACACAAGUUAACAAUGAAAGACCUCUACAUUUGUUCAAGUUAACCUUCAAAUAGUCCUGGCCACAAACACCCUGUUUGUAAAAGCCAUGCAGAUGCCAGUCUUUAAAAGAUGAAGUGUAAACUUUUUUGGAUGUUAAAAUACAUUCCACAAUCACAGCUUAAUAUUCCAAGACAACUAUAAGCAUGCCAUUUGUAAGUUGAUUACACCAAAGUGUGUACACUGUGCAACUGUGGCGCUAUCAGAACAUUGCUCUGUUCGCUUUGAACAUUCUGACCAGCCCAACAUAGCAACAUUGGCUCAACCAUUUGCAUGAGUUUGUGAAAUAUAUACUGUAUCAUCUCUGUUUGGUCAAUGGAAGACGGGGAAGUGUUCAUGAAACCUGUCUGAAAACUUGUAUGAUGGGACAAGCACAUAAAUGCAUGCUCAACCUGGGCUAUAAAGACAAACUACCAAGUUUAUGUGUUUGUAGCUUUUACAUCAAAGAGUAUUUUUGUUGCCAAGUUAGAAUGAUAUAUUUAUUCUAAUUUAUGGGAAUACCAACUUUGAAAAACUUUCUGGGGUAAAUACUUCUGGCAGCAUUUUUCCUUGACCUCAAACAUUUCAUGACCACAAAAUAAAUAAAUAAAAUAAAACCCACCUUAUGCAAUUUGUUAUUGUAUGUUGCUGGGUUAGCCUAAAUCAAAGAUAUUCCAACUAUGCCAGCUUAUUUAUUAUUUUUUCUUUGUAAUCACUUUGAGACAAGAACCAGCAGCCAAAGAUCUUCAGGCUGUUUUAGAGAUGCCUCAACUGGAGGUGCAGGUGUUAUAUCCUCUUUCAGAAAUAUGGGUGUGCCUGAAUCUGCCUGCCUACAUGUGCUCUUAAUGCCCAAUUGAUUUUACCUUCCAUUACAUAAUUACACAACAUGCAUCUACAUGUCAUGCAAUUCCAGACAAAAAAAACUAGAAAGCUUUUGGUCAGUUUUCUGCAUGGCAACAGCAUUGCUUAUAUACAUUACAUUUCACAGGCAACAGGCCUUUUUUAUUUCACACGACUCGGCAUGUUGGAAUUGCUCAACACCUGUUACAUAAACUUAUUUUGAUGACAAAUACACUAGAAAGCCAACUUGUGUAAUGCACAAGAUCCUUUUUUUAUUCAUGAGCAGCAUCCCUUAAACAAAAUCUUAACCAUAUGUGCAACAUAUGUGACCAAUUGUAAGCAAUUUUCUGAGACAGACCGUAGGAC
Long non-coding RNA from Xyrauchen texanus (razorback sucker), 1528 nucleotides. RefSeq lists it as uncharacterized. NCBI's taxonomy places the organism in Eukaryota, Metazoa, Chordata, Actinopteri, Cypriniformes, Catostomidae. The transcript is spliced from 3 exons. The record is from RefSeq and is a predicted model, not a curated record.